This is a long non-coding RNA of Gavialis gangeticus (Gharial), 215 nucleotides long. RefSeq lists it as uncharacterized. NCBI's taxonomy places the organism in Eukaryota, Metazoa, Chordata, Crocodylia, Gavialidae. The transcript has 3 exons. The record is from RefSeq and is a predicted model, not a curated record.
GGGCCAAGCAGCGGGCGCCCGAGGGCAGCGAUGAGCCACAGCAGAACCUCACCUGGUUCGAGUUCCUGUCGAACGAGAAUGAGGACAGCGGGAAGAGCGAUAAGGUGGAGAAAGGCACCACGGUGAUGCGACGCCUGAGUUCCCUGCGGAGCCGCGUCACAGGAUCCUGGCAGAAGGAUAAGGGUAAGAACAAAGAGCAGCAGAGGGAGAAGGAG